Molecule: non-coding RNA, 1068 nt
Organism: Amborella trichopoda
Lineage: Eukaryota; Viridiplantae; Streptophyta; Magnoliopsida; Amborellales; Amborellaceae
Source: RefSeq, a predicted model, not a curated record
UCUCUCUUUCUCUUAUUUGAUAGGUUUUAGUGGGAGAAAUCCCUCCAUAAUUUCCGGCCUUCCUCAAGCCUCUUCUUCUUGCUUCAUUUAUAACCAGGUAGUUUAGAUUGAUUCUACAGUUUUGAAGGUUUUAUUCAUAUUUGAUUGAUCUUAGUUUGGAGAGUGUUCGAUUGAGAGUUUUUUGAAUUGUAUUGAUUGAUUUUUCUGUGCAAUUUCUGAUUUUUCUCUGUAAUUUAUUGGAUCCUACAUUAGUCAAUGAGAUAAUCAUUUUGGUAGGAUAAAUUGAAAAUUUAAAAAUGGAAAACUAUUUCAAAUUUUUGUGGAGGACGUGAUGGCAUUUGAAGUGUUUGAUGGAUUUCCAAAGGUAAGUAUAAAAAUUGGCAUCCCAAUAUUGCGUAGGAAAAAUCCAGUUUUUGGGCUACAAAAAUUGAAAAAGUUAACAAUAGAUUAGAAAAUCAUUUGGGCUAGAAGUUCUCUCUCAAAAUUGUAAAAGUUAGCCAUAGAUUUAUUGGCUACAAGGGUUAUCAUAAGUUCUCUGUUGAACAUGCUUAAACGAUUUUAUUUGGGGCUUGCAUUCUUUCUCCCAUUGGCAACUUUUGACAAUCUUGUUGUCCUGUGUUUUUGUGCGUUAAGAGGUACAAUUCUCUUAGCCUAAAUUUAGAUCUAAGUAGGAGUUUCAUGUUGAUUCAAAUUUCACAAUAAUUCUCUCUCAUUCCUGAAAAUGCAAUUGUUUAGUUUCUUCCCAUUCUAUGCUGUAAUUUAUUGCUUUCUCCUUAUUAGAUUCAGCUGUUAUAAUUAUGAUUAUUUGGUUCAGGUAUAAAGCAAAUGGCAUCAGGUUGUAUGCAAUCCACUCAAAAUAAAAAGAUGCAGGCUGUAUGCCAUUGUACAAGCUUGUCUGUUGAUUACAGAGAGUAUGGUUUUUGUGUAAACUUGGUGACGGUUUGUUGCAAUUAUGCAAAUCUGUCUUGAUCUGCAGCAAGAGCUUGUCUUCUUGAUGACAUUGGCCAUGAUAUUUGAUUGUUGAAAAAACAUUAAAAAAUGCAAGAAAUUAAUCUCACUUGUACGUAA